GUGCUCACUUUCCAGCACAUACACUAAAAUUGGAAAGAUAUAGAGAAGAUUAACGUGGCCCCCUUGCAAGGAUGAAAUGCAUAUUGCUAAGCCUCUCUGUU
RNAcentral lists this small nuclear RNA (101 nucleotides) under Castor canadensis (American beaver). The record is from RNAcentral. Lineage: Eukaryota; Metazoa; Chordata; Mammalia; Rodentia; Castoridae.